ACGGGGUGCAGCAGGCGCGAAAACUUGGCAAUGCGAGCAAUCGUGACCAGGGAACUCCAAGUGGCUGGGGUAAGACCCAGUCUUUUCAGAACUCUUCAAAGGUUUUAGAAUAAGGGGUGGGUAAGGACGGUGCCAGCCGCCGCGGUAAUACCGGCGCCUCAAGUGGUAGUCGCUUUUAUUGGGCCUAAAACGUCCGUAGCCGGUUUGGUACAUUCGUGGGUAAAUCAACUCGCUCAACGAGUUGAAUUCUGCGAGGACGGCCAGACUUGGGACCGGGAGAGGUGUGGGGUACUCUCAGGGUAGGGGUAAAAUCCUGUCAUCCUGAGAGGACCACCUGUUGCGAAGGCGCCACACUAGAACGGAUCCGACGGUCAGGGACGAAGCCUAGGGGCACGAACCGGAUUAGAUACUCGGGUAGUCCUAGGUGUAAACGCUGUGGACUUGAUGUUGGAGGAGCUCCGAGCUCUUUCAGUGUCGAAGCGAAGGUGAUAAGUCCACUGCCUGGGAAGUACGGUCGCAAGGCUGAAACUCAAAUGAAUUGACGGA
RNAcentral lists this ribosomal RNA (546 nucleotides) under uncultured archaeon. RNAcentral describes it as "bacterial SSU rRNA". It matches the Rfam family "Archaeal small subunit ribosomal RNA", at positions 325 to 872 of the family's 1478-position model. The record is from RNAcentral.